UGGAGAUUAGCUCAGUGGUAGAGUGCUUGCCUAGCAUGUAUGAGGGCCUAGGUUCACUUCCUAGAGCACUGA
RNAcentral lists this transfer RNA (72 nucleotides) under Heterocephalus glaber (naked mole-rat). It matches the Rfam family "tRNA". Rfam says of the family: Transfer RNA (tRNA) molecules are approximately 80 nucleotides in length. Their secondary structure includes four short double-helical elements and three loops (D, anti-codon, and T loops). The record is from Rfam by way of RNAcentral. Lineage: Eukaryota; Metazoa; Chordata; Mammalia; Rodentia; Bathyergidae.